UUGAUUACGUCCCUGCCCUUUGUACACACCGCCCGUCGCUGCCCGGGACUGAGCCAUUUCGAGAAACUUGGGGACCGCCGGUUUGGCGGCCUUUUCGGGGUUACCUUCUCGAUGGAAACCAACUUAAUCGCAGUGGCUUGAACCGGGCAAAAGUCGUAACAAGGUAGCUGUAGGUGAACCUGCUGCUGGAUCAUUACACAUGCUGCGCUAUGCUUACAAUUGUGGAAAGCUAGACACCUCUCUUUCAUCAAGAUGUGUUUUUGGCCUCACAACAACAACAUAUUGUUGUUGUCCUUACAACAAACAGUGUUGUUGUUGUGAAGCGACCUUUUUGUUUGUUGGUGUUUUCCGCGUUGCUAAGCGGUUUUUGUGUUACGCAUUGGUCGUGAUCGCAAUGAAGUGACGCGUUUGAGGACAUCUUGUGUUGUUUAAUAUAUAUAAAUUCUAUCCUCGUCGGUGGAUCACUCGGCUCGUGGAUCGAUGAAGAACGCAGCUAACUGCGAUAAUUAAUGUGAACCGCAGAAAAAUUGAACACAAAAGUUUUGAAUGCAUAUUGCGCCCAUGGAGUCAAAUUCAUGGGCACGUCUGGUUCAGGGUCAUAUUAUCAUUUGCAAGUGCAACAGCAAGGCUUGCAUGCUUGUCGCAUUGAUCAUCAUUGUUCGUGGCAACAAACAACAACAACUCUACUUAUUACUACGAUGAGGAGGUGUGUGUUGUUGGCGUCGUUGGAAUUUAUGGCCGGAAUUGAGCACCACAGCGCGCAUAUACACACACAUCAACACUCUAUGCAAUUUGUAAUCUCUGUUUUUGGCCUGAAACUCAGUCGUGAGCACCCGCUGAACUUAAGCAUAUCAUUUAGCGGAGGA
Molecule: ribosomal RNA, 866 nt
Filed under: Meloidogyne camelliae
Lineage: Eukaryota; Metazoa; Nematoda; Chromadorea; Rhabditida; Meloidogynidae
Description: eukaryotic LSU rRNA
Rfam family: Eukaryotic small subunit ribosomal RNA (bases 1-196)
Source: RNAcentral